GCCCGCAGUAUCAUAGCAACGGGAUGGAUGCCAGCGUAGCCCGCAGUAUCAUAGCAACGGGAAGGAUGCCAGCGUAGCCCGCAGUAUCAUAGCAACGGAAGGAUGCCAGCGUAGCCCGCAGUAUCAUAGCAACGGGAAGGAUGCCAGCGUAGCCCGCAGUAUCAUAGCAACGGGAAGGAUGCCAGCGUAGCCCGCAGUAUCAUAGCAACGGGAAGGAUGCCAGCGUAGCCCGCAGUAUCAUAGCAACGGGAUGGAUGCCAGCGUAGCCCGCAGUAUCAUAGCAACGGGAAGGAUGCCAGCGUAGCCCGCAGUAUCAUAGCAACGGGAAGGAUGCCAGCGUAGCCCGCAGUAUCAUAGCAACGGGAUGGAUGCCAGCGUAGCCCGCAGUAUCAUAGCAACGGGAUGGAUGCCAGCGUAGCCCGCAGUAUCAUAGCAACGGGAAGGAUGCCAGCGUAGCCCGCAGUAUCAUAGCAACGGGAAGGAUGCCAGCGUAGCCCGCAGUAUCAUAGCAACGGGAAGGAUGCCAGCGUAGCCCGCAGUAUCAUAGCAACGGGAUGGAUGCCAGCGUAGCCCGCAGUAUCAUAGCAACGGGAUGGAUGCCAGCGUAGCCCGCAGUAUCAUAGCAACGGGAAGGAUGCCAGCGUAGCCCGCAGUAUCAUAGCAACGGGAAGGAUGCCAGCGUAGCCCGCAGUAUCAUAGCAACGGGAUGGAUGCCAGCGUAGCCCGCAGUAUCAUAGCAACGGGAUGGAUGCCAGCGUAGCCCGCAGUAUCAUAGCAACGGGAAGGAUGCCAGUGUAGCCCGCAGUAUCAUAGCAACAGGCAGCCAUCUGUGAGCCAGACAAACCAAUGUCUUAAUGUGUGUGUCUCAAAAGGCUCACUAUUCCCUAUAUUAUAGUGAACUACUUUUGACCCGGGACCGUAGGAAGCCCCAUAGAGCUCUGGUCAACAGCAGUGCACUAUACAGGGAAUGGGUUACCAAUGGAGACGCAGACCAAGUUCUGUAUAAUAUUGGAUGGUUUCUCCUAAUGUCUUAAUUAAAGUGGUAUGUUUAAGCAAUAAGGCCAGAGGGGGUGUGGUAUAUGGCCAAUAUACCACGGCUGAGGGCUGUUCUUCAUGCAUGACGCAUCGCGGAGUCGCCUAGUGGUUACAGCGUUGGGACAGAAACCGAAAGGUUGCGAAGAUCAAAUCCCCGAGCUGUCGUUCUGAACAAGGCAGUUAACCCACUGUUCCUAGGCCGUCUUUGUAAAUAAGAAUUUGUUCUUAUUAACUGACUUGCCUGGUUAAAUAAUGGUUAAAUAAAUAAAAUAUAUAUUUUUUUUUAAAUCCACAAACCCCCGAGUAGCAUUAUUGCUAUUAUAAACUGGUUAACAGCGUAAUGUUGUCAUACCCGUGGUAUACGGUCUAAUAUACCACGGCUAUCAGCCAAUAAGCAUUCAGGGCUCGAAUCACCCAGUUUCUAAAUAUAUAUAUAAUGAGGGUAAUUCAUAUUGAAGGGAAGAGGUUGUGUGUUUGUCUGUUAUGGGGGUCAGUGGUAAUAACUAGAGAGGGUUGAUAUGAUUCUGUUAUGGGGGUCAGUGGUGAUAAAUGUAAUCACUCUGUUCCUGGAGAGCUACCCUCCUGUAGGUUUUAACUCCAACCCUGUUCCUGGAGAGAUACCUCCUGUAGGUUUUAACUCCAACCCUGUUCCUGGAGAGAUACCCUCCUGUAGGUUUUAACUCCAACCCUGUUCCUGGAGAGCUACCCUCCUGUAGGUUUUAACUCCAACCCUGUUCCUGGAGAGAUACCCUCCUGUAGGUUUUAAUUCCAACCCUGUUCCUGGAGAGAACCUACAGGAGGGCAUCUCUCCAGGAACAGGGUUGGAGUUAAAACCUACAGGAGGGUAUCUCUCCAGGAACAGGGUUGGAGAUAAAACCUAGAGGAGGGUAGGGGCCCAGGUUCCUGUUAGUUUUAUUCUGACACCCUGUCCUAUUCCCUAUAUAGUGCAGUGUGCACUAUAUUUGACCAGAACCUCUGUAGGGAAUAGGGUGCCACAACAUUCUGUUUCCAUGGUGAUGUGGAGCUCAGCUUGUCUCGUUGGAAGGCAACACACAUAAUGCCUUUUUUUUCUUUUUACAAGGUUACUUAAAAAAAAAGGUUAAGUUAAGCACUUGAGUUUCAUAUGGUAAUCGUAAAUAAAAAAACUAUUUCUACUUCCUGCAUUCAGAAAGAGUUUAAACAUGGCGAUAUCCAGCUGUUGUCAUUUUCAAUUUAAGGAAAUCGCCUGUUUGAGUGUUCGUCCCAAAUGGCACCCGAUUCCCUAUGUAGUGCACUACUUUUGACCAGGGCCUAGAGGGUAAGCCAUAUAGGGCCUUGGUCAAAAAUAGUGCAGAGGGUGCCGUUUGGGAUGAACGCUGGGACAGAUGGGACUCCAUUGUUUAACAUAAAAGGGCUAUCGCCUCAUUGGUCCCUCUCAUGUAACCAAUGGCCUGAAGGAUGUUUUAUGUUUGUUUGUGACAAAAUGAUGUUUUAAAUUGUCAAUUUGUUUAAUUGUUCAUGAAUAGGUUCAUUCUUUCCCACCUGUCCUGAGGUUGGUUGGUUUCUAAUUGCGUAGAUUGAAUGAUUAAAUAUCUGUCUUUAAAAAAAAAAAAAUCUCUUAUUUUUUCAUUUAGUGGAAUUCAACCACUUUUCCGUAAGUUGUGGUCUAUAUAGGGGCGGCAGGCAGCCUAGUGGUUAGAGUGUAGGGGCGGCAGGUAGCCUAGUGGUUAGAGUGUAGGGGCGGCAGGUAGCCUAGUGGUUAGAGUGUAGGGGCGGCAGGCAGCCUAGUGGUUAGAGUGUAGGGGCGGCAGGUAGCCUAGUGGUUAGAGUGUAGGGGCGGCAGGUAGCCUAGUGGUUAGAGUGUAGGGGCGGCAGGUAGCCUAGUGGUUAGAGUGUAGGGGCGGCAGGUAGCCUAGUGGUUAGAGUGGAGGGGCGGCAGGUAGCCUAGUGGUUAGAGUGGAGGGGCGGCAGGUAGCCUAGUGGUUAGAGUGUAGGGGCGGCAGGUAGCCUAGUGGUUAGAGUGUAGGGGCGGCAGGGUAGCCUAGUGGUUAGAGUGUAGGGGCGGCAGGUAGCCUAGUGGUUAGAGUGUAGGGGCGGCAGGUAGCCUAGUGGUUAGAGUGUAGGGGCGGCAGGUAGCCUAGUGGUUAGAGUGUAGGGGCGGCAGGUAGCCUAGUGGUUAGAGUGUAGGGGCGGCAGGUAGCCUAGUGGUUAGAGUGUAGGGGCGGCAGGUAGCCUAGUGGUUAGAGUGUAGGGGCGGCAGGUAGCCUAGUGGUUAGAGUGUAGGGGCGGCAGGUAGCCUAGUGGUUAGAGUGUAGGGGCGGCAGGUAGCCUAGUGGUUAGAGUGUAGGGGCGGCAGGGUAGCCUAGUGGUUAGAGUGUAGGGGCGGCAGGUAGCCUAGUGGUUAGAGUGUAGGGGCGGCAGGUAGCCUAGUGGUUAGAGUGUAGGGGCGGCAGGCAGCCUAGUGGUUAGAGUUGGGCUAGUAAUCGAAAGGUUGCUAGAUUGGAUCCCCCGAGCUGACGAGGUAAAAAUCUGUCGUUCUGCCCCCAAACAAGGCAGUUUAACCCACUGUUCCUAGGCCAUCAUUGUAAAUAAGAAUGUGUUCUUAACAGACUUGCCCGGUUAAAUAUAAGGGAUGCCAUUUGGGACAAACUAAGUUGUAUACUGGAGAUGAUGAAUGAGGUUUAACAGUGGUGGAAUGUCCCCUUUAAUUAAACUGGUAAUACUACUUCUGGUGCACUGUGAUUCUCUCUGACGCGUUACCAUGGUGAGGGUGCACAACCAUUUUUGCUAAAUAUGUGUAUGUGACAAACCAAAUGUGAUUUGACUGUGAUUCCCUCUGAUGCGUUACCUGGUUUGUUAUGGUUUCUCUCCCAAAAAAAUGAAGACUUGGCAAACAAACAAAUUAAUAAAAUAUGUUUUUUUUUUUU
Long non-coding RNA from Oncorhynchus keta (chum salmon), 3941 nucleotides. RefSeq lists it as uncharacterized. The transcript is spliced from 6 exons. The record is from RefSeq and is a predicted model, not a curated record. NCBI's taxonomy places the organism in Eukaryota, Metazoa, Chordata, Actinopteri, Salmoniformes, Salmonidae.